CCCGGCUCGGGCUGCCGCUCACCAGAACCACUCGCUGCCGAAGCUGGGCACCGAGAACAAGCCCCAGUGGAUGAACACGCCGAACUUCGCCUCGUCAAACCAGGCGGGCAGCGGCCGGGCGUCCAGCGAGCCCCAGGUGUCACUUUGCUUCUCAAAAGAAACCUUUAGAUGCCUUUGACCUCUUGUAUGAGAUCCUUUCUGGAUUAUCUUUCAAUUUCUUCAUGUUCUCCUUUUUGAUCGCACCAAAGAAUUGCAGACACUGAGCAGCUUCUUAAUGUGAGAAUUUUGAAGCAUACACUCUGUACAGCACGACAAAGGUACAAUUGCUCUGUAGCUCAAAAUGUUUGGAAGAAAAAAUGAUGUUAAAAAAGUCAGGGUCUGACCCAAAGCUCGCUGACCUGCUGUAAACUCUGGUGAGGUUUGGAGCAGGGACUGUGUAUUUCAAUAAUGAACUUGAUCACACCCCCUAAAAAAGGAAAAAAGGAAGGGAAAAGAAAAGUGGCAAACAUUUCAGUAAACAGCAGUGAUGAGUACACUUCUGAUUAAAGUAUAGAUAGGUCCAGAAAAUGUCACCAGCCCAUACAUGCCCAUGUACUGAAAUCCCUGUUGGGGAAAAUAGUCCUUUUUGUACUGUUACAUUUGUAACGAUGCAAGCUGCAAAGGGUAAAUAAUAAAAAUAGCACAUUGUCAGAUUUUGUAAAUAACACAGGACUGGUGUGCGCAGCUGCAAAAAGCUCUCUAAGCGUGGGUACCACGUUCCUGCCUGUGUGACCCCCCCCCGUGAGAGGGGCUGGAUGGAGCCCGUGCCUCUCCCUCUCACAGUCCCGCUGGGAAAGCUCUGUGGCUGGGGAAGGCUGGUCUGUCAGCAGAGGGAAGGAGAGGAAACAAUGAAGGCAAUGCCCUGAGGGAAACUGAGCAGAAAAGACCUUUCGACCUGACUAAUGGCUGACAUACGAGACUCCUGUGCUGGAUCAAUUGCUUCGACAAAUGCGGAGAGUGACUGCUGGGAAGACCACAAAACCCCUGCGCCUGGGGAGCUGCACGGGCUCGGCGUUGAGAUGAAGACUUGGGUGGAAACAGAAACCAGAAACUGAAUUUCACGUGGACAGCUUUCAGACUUGAUAGGUUUUGAAUCAGACCUGAAGAGUCGUAGUUGUUAAAAUGCAGCUUGAAUGCAACUUUCACAUUGAAUAACUAUGCAACUCUGGACGCAUUAAAAAUAUAGGCUGCA
Taeniopygia guttata (zebra finch) is the source of this 1231-nucleotide non-coding RNA. The record is from RefSeq and is a predicted model, not a curated record. Lineage: Eukaryota; Metazoa; Chordata; Aves; Passeriformes; Estrildidae.